AGAACGAACGCUGGCGGCAUGCCUAAUACAUGCAAGUCGAACGAACACUUCGGUGUUAGUGGCGCACGGGUGCGUAACGCGUGGGAAUCUGCCCUUGGGUUCGGAAUAGCAGUUGGAAACGACUGCUAAUACCGGAUGAAUAUCGAAAGAUCAAAGAUUUAUCGCCAGGAUGAGCCCGCGUAGGAUUAGCUAGUUGGUGAAGGUAAGGCUCACCAAGGCGACGAUCCUUAGCGUGGUCUGAGAGGAUGAUCAGCCACACUGGGAC
This 265-nucleotide ribosomal RNA is filed under the name uncultured soil bacterium. RNAcentral describes it as "partial 16S ribosomal RNA". It matches the Rfam family "Bacterial small subunit ribosomal RNA", at positions 26 to 319 of the family's 1533-position model. The record is from RNAcentral.